UCCACCUAUUUCCUUUCCUUUCUCUCGUUACGUUGAACUCGGGACUGGGUGGUAAUGUCCUUGGAUGAAUGCUCUUCAACUGACAUUUUUAGAGUUUCCUUGUGGCGGGUUUUGAUUUGUCGACGUGAAAGAAAGGGUGAAGGACAAACCGAUGUUAUUACUAAGGUGGGCGAUGGGUUGCUUUCUCCCCCGAUUUCUAGGGGUACCGUUCGAUUGGGAUAUGGGAGCAGCACAAGCGAUGAAGAGUAUCUCCUUCCUAAUUGCAUUACCGUUGUCGGUGUUCUCUAGAAUGCAUUUCACAAGUUCAUCGGUCAACAAGUUUCCAUUUUCUGCUCGAGUCGUACACUGGCUUGCAAUGAAGCUUGAAUUUAACAAAAUUUGCAGUUGCCACGUCAUGAACCUUCCAUGGUCAAGAAAGCUUUCAACCAUUUCUUACAGAAGCAUGAAGGUGAUAUAACGAUUAAUGAUGUUCGAUGUGUUGCUGCUGAUUUUCAUGCUAGAUAUAAAGCUGAAGAACGCACGUAGUUCUACUGGAUUCUAUCAGGUCUGGAACAUUUAUCGACUUUUGAGAAACGUCCGCAAUGCAGGUUUGUUUGAUAUUUUGUCCAUGAAGUAUAAGUUUAUGUUUUACAUUAGUUUCAGGGAUUAUUAAUUCAAAGUAUAAUUUGUUGAUGAAGAAAGCUUCCAAAGUUCUUGUGGGACUACAUGAUUUCAGUUCUUUUCAAGCUUCUGGACUAAUAGCAAUGUACAAAUAGAUGAGAAUCUCCCAACCAAAUUUCUUUACUAAUAAGAUAACAAUACUUGAUGCCUAAAUUAAACUUUUUUACAAAAGUUCCUGUAAUGUAAAAAUGGUUAAGGGGGAAUUAUAACAAACCUUUCUGGUUGUGAUGACAA
Molecule: non-coding RNA, 894 nt
Organism: Lactuca sativa (garden lettuce)
Lineage: Eukaryota; Viridiplantae; Streptophyta; Magnoliopsida; Asterales; Asteraceae
Source: RefSeq, a predicted model, not a curated record